This 419-nucleotide ribosomal RNA is filed under the name uncultured bacterium. Its description in RNAcentral is "bacterial SSU rRNA". It matches the Rfam family "Bacterial small subunit ribosomal RNA", at positions 102 to 518 of the family's 1533-position model. The record is from RNAcentral.
ACGGGUGAGUAACGCGUAUGCAACCUACCUAUCAGAGGGGAAUAACCCGGCGAAAGUCGGACUAAUACCGCAUAAAACAGGGGCACCGCAUGGUGAUAUUUGUUAAAGAAAUUCGCUGAUAGAUGGGCAUGCGUUCCAUUAGGUAGUUGGUGAGGUAACGGCUCACCAAGCCGACGAUGGAUAGGGGAACUGAGAGGUUGGUCCCCCACACUGGUACUGAGACACGGACCAGACUCCUACGGGAGGCAGCAGUGAGGAAUAUUGGUCAAUGGGCGAGAGCCUGAACCAGCCAAGUCGCCGUGAAGGAAGAAGGAUCUAUGGUUCGUAAACUUCUUUUGCAGGGGAAUAAAGUGCGGGACGUGUCCUGUUUUGUAUGUACCCUGAGAAUAAGGAUCGGCUAACUCCGUGCCAGCCGCUGC